CUUCAAUAGAAUUAUAGCAAUUGGCACCAGCUAAGAAUCUGCCCCAAGGGGUUUUCAAAAUGUAAUGCUGUGUUACUGGGGUUGGGGUGUACCCAUUCCACACUGCACCAGAAGGGUGUCCAUCUUGGGCCCGAUCUUCAGAUGUGCUGAGAACCUGCAGCUUCAGUUGCUCCAAAUGGAGAUCAGGAGCACCUACAGACACAAGGGGCAGCCCUAGUCAAGCACUAAGACAUGGCAGCCGGUGCGUUGGUGAGCAAUUACAGCACGCCUCAAGCAGUGUGCCGCACGAUCUGGAAGCACAAGGGAUUUGAAGCACCUUGCAAACACAAGAGUUGCCCUGAAUGACUGUUCGGGGAGUGGGUCUUGCUGGUUUCACAACAUGGAAUUUGCAAAGAGACACCAGGCAAAAAGCGAGGAGGUCCUGUGGAUUAACGGGGGUGGUGAUGGGGGCCUGACAUUGUUUGCGGCCAACUGAAGAGCUCCGUUUGCAUCUGGCAUUCUAAACCUAUUUCAUAAUUCACAUUAAGGGCUAACGAUUGCUUCCAUCCAAUGAGCUGCAGAGACCAAUAUGUUGCCCAUUGAUUUCCUAUCACCUGCUCUCUCUGCAGAGAGAGA
Molecule: long non-coding RNA, 615 nt
Organism: Mauremys reevesii (Reeves's turtle)
Lineage: Eukaryota; Metazoa; Chordata; Testudines; Geoemydidae
Exons: 3
Source: RefSeq, a predicted model, not a curated record